RNAcentral lists this long non-coding RNA (1367 nucleotides) under Homo sapiens (human). RNAcentral's name for it is "non-protein coding lnc-PLPPR3-1:2". The record is from RNAcentral. Lineage: Eukaryota; Metazoa; Chordata; Mammalia; Primates; Hominidae.
AUACCCAGGUGCCCAUGUUUAUCUCCACGGCGCAGCCUCCGGGUUCUGGAAUUUUCUUGGUCACUUCCAGAUAUUGUAGAGAAUUCCGGAAGAGCACCGCAGACAGCCCAGGCGCGGCCCGGCCGAGGCUUAAACACGUUUUCUUAAAUCACCAGAUUCCGCCACCAACCUGCAAAGUUCAUGGUUUUUUUCUCUCUGCGAAACUCUUGCCUUUGAAACCUCCUGCAGGGGUUCCUGUACCCCCAGAGAUUGAACAAUUCAAAACCUUCAGGACCCCUGUCCGGAGGCCCCCAAAUCCCCUUUGGUGAGGGCUGCGGCCGGCGAGGAAAGGGCGCUUGACCCUGUCACGAAAGCAAAUUCGGUCGGGUCCUCCAGAACCACCUUCUCAUUUUCUCCUGUUUACCUCACAGCCAAGAAUGAGAUAAUAAAACAGAGAAAGAAAUAGAGACGGGAGGGUUGGGGGCAGUUUCCACGGUUUCUUCAAGCACAGUUCCUGCAGGGUUGUCUGGUUUGCACAGAGAGGCUGUUGGCUCCUGGACGUGGGUCCUUGGGGGACCUUCGAUUUCUCGCCGGGUCCAGGGUGGCCCCGGCGGGAGGAGGACCUCGCCCACAUUCCUGGGAUUCCUUCUCUCCUUCCCACAUUGUUUGUUUGUUGACUUUAAAUUGGACUCUGCCAGGAAUUCCUUUUCCUCUUGGGUUUAGUGGUGAGCAGGAGGGACUUAGCAUAUCACAGAGCCCCCGGCAGCCAAGCUACCGGGUGUCCUGGCCCCCUUCAGUUCCCUCCCUUGUCCUCCUCGAGGACCCCCCAACUCAGGCACCCACACCACGGGGGGCUGCGGGACCCCGAGCCUCACUCGUGCCACCGGCCACCCAGCGUCCCCUGCAUCUUCCCCGGGGACUCACACACCGCCUCGAGGCCACUCCGCCCCUCCGGAUGGAUGUCCAAGCCUCCAGCCAGGGCCCCUUCCCUGCUUCAUCUCCAGGGUUGACGGAGGUCGAAGGAGCACAUGUCUGCUUGCAGGGCACGCCAGGUCCUGAUGGACACUGACGUCUAGACCUAGACGGUGGCUCAGCCUGAACCCUGGACGGCCUGGAGCACAGCCAUGCAACUGCUUCUAAGACAAAACCGAGCAGGAGCAUCUGCCAACGUCUCCACAUUGUGGACCUGAGAUUGUUCUCCGGAAGCUGCAGUCGGAGCAUCGCCAGGCCCAGCCCUGGGUCCUCCACCCGGGCCACUGCCUCUCAGGCGGCCUCUCCCUGCCCCCGCCCCUCCGGGGCCCCACAGGGCGGCCAGUGCAGACCUGGGUGUGCAACGGCCCCAUCAGCGUUUGUUUCAUGAACAAAUAAAUGUCUAAAUUCAGGACCCA